GACCAUUUGAAGGUUAAGGUUAAGGUUUAAGCUUAAGAAUACUGAGACCCAAGAUGUUAAAAAUAACUUACAAACCUAGUAAAUGGUGGAUCCAGGAUUACAACUGAAGUUGGCUUAACUCCAAAGCUCAUGCUGUGAAGCACCAUGCUGCACUGUCUUUCAGAAGAGCAAAGCUUGCAGGGACCUCUCCUUGAUGGGUCGAAAGGUCUUUUGUACAAAUAAUUUGGGGGGCCCGUGGGAAGAAGAUAUUUGAAUAACGUGCCACAAGUCCAAAUCCACCACCUCUACAGAGCUCUUUGCCUUUGGGCAUGUCUCUUUGCUUCUGAUUCCCAUCACUUUUUCUCUUUUCUUUUACUUUGAUUGACUGUUCCAAUAGCCCUAUCAGCAUUGUGGGACUUAACUGAGUAGCAGAGCCUGGAAACACCUCAUUGCAUCUGAAACCUAGAGAAGACGCUGGAUGUAAGACACAUACUUACAGCAACAGCCACUGACAAGAUUAUGAUACAGAAUAGAGAAGAGGAGCAAAUGCAAAGAUGAUUCCUUUGACAAGAUGAAAAACGGUACUCUAAUACACCUGCUUUGUAAGUCUCUAUUUUCACACAUAGCAGGCUUGUUUACAGCUGGCUAAAGAUCUGCUGCACAGCAGCACUGACCCCACUGCAUUCUUUCUACACCAAUAAAUUUCCUCUGCUGCCUCAUUCAGAUAGCCUAGCUGCUGUUUAGAGUGAAAUUCUUCCACCUUCAAGCAAGAAUCAGAGGUUCUUUCAGGCUUCACACAAUAAUAUGAUGAAGAGGCACGCUGAAGGUGAAUAAACACUAAUUUGUUUGCGUGUGAAUAAGGCAUCAUUUAUGUAGCAACUUCUACAGAUUGGGUACUGGAGAUUUUUCCAAAACGAAUAAUGCUCCUGCUUUUGAGCUUACAAUGUAGUAGGAAAGAUAAACAGAGUGUGAUAAGUGACAUCAUAAAGGCACAAACAAAUUCCUGUGAGCACAAAGUGGAAAGCCCCUGAGCUGGAAAAUAGCACUGAGGUGGUUUCAUGAAAGAGGAAGCAGCAAGGCUGGGCCUUGAAGAACGUGAAGGAGUCACCCAGCUAGAGAGGGCAGGAGGGUGUUCCACGAAGUACAAACAUCAUGAACAGAAAGUCAAAGAGUGAAAGUGAAGGGAGGAUUGGGGAGCAGUGAACAGACAAUGUGAGAGAGCUGCGGCACCAUGGAGAAGAGUAAUGAGAGGGACAUCCUGAAGGAAAGACAAUAUGAAGGACUGUCGAUGCCAAAGAAAGGACUUUCAGCCAUAUGCACGCAAUGGGGAGCAAUGCAAGAUUGUCAACCAAGAGACUGAGGUGACCAGAUCUGCUUCACAGCAGCAGCAGCAGCAGUGUACAUGGAAGAUUAGAGGACCGAGAGAGAUGCAUGUCAGGAAAAUCAGCUAACAGACUCUAAAAUAACUAAGACUUGAGAAAGAUCUGGAUCAAAGCUUUAACAGCAGCAAUAAAGAAAAAAGAAGAGACAUUUCUGUAAUCAGAUCUAGAAAAGUUGAUGACCCCCAGGAUAACAGCCAUGAAAGUGCUGCUACCACAAACAUGAGGAAACUUCUGUUAGGAGUUCAACCUUCAGAGAGGACAGCUGGCAGUGCAAGAUGGUGACAGCCCUGCAAUCAGGAGAAGAAAGUCAUGAGACCUGUUUCUCCAGGUUUCCCGCCUCCUUCCACCUUCUGUACAGGACACACCAGUUCCCUCAAGCCCAAAAUGUGAGCAGCUGUCAUUCUCUGCAUAGCCAAGCUCGGCAGUCUGCCGAAAGGGACAAGCCAGUCCCGCAAAGGAAUGAUGUAUGCCAAAAGAUACUGCAUUAGGAUCUU
RNAcentral lists this long non-coding RNA (1855 nucleotides) under Homo sapiens (human). RNAcentral describes it as "HSALNT0332723". Lineage: Eukaryota; Metazoa; Chordata; Mammalia; Primates; Hominidae. The record is from RNAcentral.